GUCGGGAGUCUUGCACAAUGGGGGAAACCCUGAUGCAGCGACGUCGCGUGUGGGAUGAAGUAUUUCGGUAUGUAAACCACUUUUGCGGGGGGCGAAAAAAAUGACGGUACCCCGCGAAUAAGCCCCGGCUAACUACGUGCCAGCAGCCGCGGUAAUACGUAGGGGGCGAGCGUUGCUCGGAUUGACUGGGCGUAAAGCGCGCGUAGGCGGUCCAUUAAGUGUGCGGUGAAAUUCAGAGGCUCAACCUCUGUCCCGCCGCGCAAACUGGUGGUCUUGAGAUUGGGAGGGGGAUGCGGAAUUCCUGGUGUAGCGGUGAAAUGCAUUGAUAUCAGGAGGAACACCGGCGGCGAAAGCGGCAUCCUGGCUUAUAUCUGACGCUGAGGCGCGAAAGCGUGGGUAGCAAACGGGAUUAGAAACCCCUGUAGUCC
Molecule: ribosomal RNA, 428 nt
Filed under: uncultured bacterium
Lineage: Bacteria
Description: partial 16S ribosomal RNA
Rfam family: Bacterial small subunit ribosomal RNA
Source: RNAcentral